UGAGUGGCGGACGGGUGAGUAACGCGUGGGCAACCUGGCCUGUACAGGGGGAUAACACUUAGAAAUAGGUGCUAAUACCGCAUAACGGGAGAAGCCGCAUGGCUUUUUCCUGAAAACUCCGGUGGUGUAAGAUGGACCCGCGUCUGAUUAGCUUGUUGGCGGGGUAACGGCCCACCAAGGCGACGAUCAGUAGCCGGCCUGAGAGGGCGGACGGCCACAUUGGGACUGAGACACGGCCCAGACUCCUACGGGAGGCAGCAG
Molecule: ribosomal RNA, 261 nt
Filed under: uncultured bacterium
Lineage: Bacteria
Description: partial 16S ribosomal RNA
Rfam family: Bacterial small subunit ribosomal RNA
Source: RNAcentral